Molecule: long non-coding RNA, 842 nt
Organism: Pogoniulus pusillus (Red-fronted tinkerbird)
Lineage: Eukaryota; Metazoa; Chordata; Aves; Piciformes; Lybiidae
Exons: 4
Source: RefSeq, a predicted model, not a curated record
UGCCUUACCGCACCGUGCCUUUGUGCGCACGGAGCAUCUGCUCGUUCGCCGCUCGUUAACAGGCGCCCGGGCGUAGGCUGCUCGCACUAGUGCCUUAGCGGCAUCUCCUUCCUCCUCUGCCUGAAAGAUUUGUGUUUUACCCCGGGAGCAACGCGAGUUUAAAAGCGUCUUUCAUGCAGGAGACUUACUCAGGGCCCAAAGGCGUCGUGAGUAUAUGCUGGAGCUGCAAUGGGCCACAGCUGAAGCAAGCAGGAAGGAAGGCUCUGCCUCUCGGCAAUGCAGGCAUUCUAGGAGCAACGCAGCAGGGUUGAAGGUAUUUGAAGAGAGGCCCACACUGACAGAAGUCAGCCACUACAAAUUCUGGUAUGACUGUGAGGAGGGCUGUAAGACUGAAGUGCAUCACAAGCCAGAGCUGUACUGAUACUUGCCAGGAGAUAAGUUCCACCAAGAAGCCCAUUGCAUGACACAGUCUUCUAAGAAUGUGCCUGGCUUCGUUCUGCAGAUCAGACUGAAAACUUGCAACAGCAGACAAUAAUAUUGCCCAAGGUAGAGUUGCUGGGAACUAUUCUGUUUUAUGACUUGGUUCUUCUUAACAGCAAGCUCAGGCAAUUGCAUGUGAGUUUCAAGACCAAGAGGCAUAUUUGCUUCCAGUAUUAGGGAGCUAAUCUGUCUCUAACUUGGUGCAGGGAGGCUACAUCUUUAUGGCCAGCCUCCUAAAUUAUUCCAAGGAGAGCUGGUAGGCACAUAGAGCUGACUGCCCCAAAUGUUCAGCAUUGUGCUUUUGUCACUUUCUUCACAAGUGCUGGUGUGUUUUGACUCAAAGGCAAGGGAUCAGAUCUGCU